Molecule: long non-coding RNA, 1393 nt
Filed under: Vulpes vulpes (red fox)
Lineage: Eukaryota; Metazoa; Chordata; Mammalia; Carnivora; Canidae
Description: lncRNA (ENSVVUG00000017898.1)
Source: RNAcentral
CAAGACUCUUCUGAGCCUCAGUUUCCUCAUUUGUAAAAUAAAAUGAGAGUACUUGUUUGUAUACAUGUAUAUAAAGACUUUAGCAAAGCAUCUAAUGCAUCAUAAUGUUCAAUAAAUGUUAGUUUUCAUAUGUGUUGUAUAUGUGUAAGAUAUAUAGAUGGAUGGACACAGCAAUGGAUGCUUUGCAUACAGCUUGAGUUCUUAGUCAACAAAUAAGCAAACAAAAAAGGAAAUUCUUUUUUGGGCACUGGUGAAGGUACAUUAUAUGAUUACCUAGAUGCUCAAGUAAUAUCAAAUGCCAAUAAAAGAAAGUAUAAUAUAAUAGUUCCCCUAGUUCCCAGUAAGGACUCAAUAUGUUUUUGUUGAACUUGACUUAAAUGUUGGUUUGUAUCCACACACUUCUCUUUGACUCAUCUGUGCCCUCUCUGGUCGAUUUCUUUUAUUCCUAUGAGUCAACAGUUAUUUUUAUGUGCAUUUAUAAAUCCUGCCAGGUUAUCUUCCUGAGAGCUCUGGAUCUGCAUAUUUAACCACCUAAUGGACUUUUCUGUGUCCUCAGGUCAGCAUGUCACAAAGUGAGACCAUUAUUAUUCUCCUCCCUCCCCUUGUACUUGUACCCAUUCCUUAUCAGAGUGAAUGAGGCUUCAGCUGACUUCCUAGAAACCUUGAUUCUUCCUUACCCUUAUGUCCAAUCUGCUCCCAACUGCUAUUAAUACGAUCUUUAGAAUAUCUCUCCCUUUUCUCUACUCAAAUCCACCACUGCCACUGCUCUCCCAGUUAAGAUCUUCAUUAUUUAUUUUCUGUUAACCCUCCCUACUUUCUUCAAUCCAUCCUCCCUCCAACCCCAAAAUGAUCUUUGUAACAUAAAAACCUUAUCAUGUCAUCCCACUGCUCACGAUCCCCUUCCUCCAGGUCAGCUGGAGGUCUGCUGAUCUCUGUGGAAUUCAACGGGGCUUGAUUCCGAGGUGCCGGUUACAUGUGGGUAUGCUCCACGGACCUACCAACGUCCUGGGACCAGCGGGCAACCUACAUCAUGUCAUUUUCUUGGAAGAGUCAGAAGGGCAGGCAUGCAAAGCCCAGCUGCUUAUGGGCAAUUCAAGCUGCUGCUUCUCCUCCAUCUGCAUCCCAUUGCCUGAUGCGUGUUACCCAGGCACGAGGGUUACAUUUAGGACUUGCAAGACUUGUUAGGCAGUUAAUGAGGAUUCACGAAUUGUCAGAGCUGAGUGAGAAGCAUCAUGGAGUUUCCUGGCUCCUUUUCCUAAGAGCUAUUGUUCUCAGAGCUGCAAAUGCUCCUUGUGACUCCUGGAGGUCAAUGUGAAAAUUGUCAUCAUUUCUCUUCCUGAUACAGCAGAGUCUACUUAAUAAAAGUGAUUUGGGCAAGUGUUUCUGAAUUUCA